RNAcentral lists this ribosomal RNA (1360 nucleotides) under metagenome. RNAcentral describes it as "bacterial LSU rRNA". It matches the Rfam family "Bacterial large subunit ribosomal RNA", at positions 1580 to 2925 of the family's 2925-position model. The record is from RNAcentral.
UAGCGGCGAAAUCCAUGAUCCUAUGCUGCCGAGAAAAGCCUCUAGCGAGCUGGUACAUGGCCCGUACCCCAAACCGACACAGGUGGUCAGGUAGAGAAUACUAAGGCGAUCGAGAGAACUGUGGUUAAGGAACUCGGCAAAAUGCCCCCGUAACUUCGGGAGAAGGGGGACCAGUCCUGGUGACGACAUUUACUGUCUGAGCUGGGGUUGGUCGCAGAGACCAGAGAGAAGCGACUGUUUACUAAAAACACAGGUCCGUGCGAAGUCGUAAGACGAUGUAUACGGACUGACGCCUGCCCGGUGCUGGAAGGUUAAGAGGACCGGUCAGCCACUUCGGUGGCGAAGCUGAGAAUUUAAGCCCCAGUAAACGGCGGUGGUAACUAUAACCAUCCUAAGGUAGCGAAAUUCCUUGUCGGGUAAGUUCCGACCUGCACGAAUGGCGUAACGACUUCUCUGCUGUCUCAACCACAGACUCGGCGAAAUUGCAGUAGUAAAGAUGCUCGUUACGCGCGGCAGGACGAAAAGACCCCGGGACCUUCACUAUAGCUUGGUAUUGGUGUUCGGUUCGGUUUGUGUAGGAUAGGUGGGAGACUGUGAAACUCGCACGCCAGUGUGGGUGGAGUCAUUGUUGAAAUACCACUCUGACCGUAUUGGACAUCUAACCUCGGACCAUGAUCUGGUUCAGGGACAGUGCCUGGUGGGUAGUUUAACUGGGGCGGUUGCCUCCUAAAAAGUAACGGAGGCGCCCAAAGGUUCCCUCAGCCUGGUUGGCAAUCAGGUGUUGAGUGUAAGUGCACAAGGGAGCUUGACUGUGAGACGUACAUGUCGAGCAGGGACGAAAGUCGGGACUAGUGAUCCGGCACCGGCAAGUGGAAGCGGUGUCGCUCAACGGAUAAAAGGUACCCCGGGGAUAACAGGCUGAUCUCCCCCAAGAGUCCAUAUCGACGGGAUGGUUUGGCACCUCGAUGUCGGCUCGUCGCAUCCUGGGGCUGGAGUAGGUCCCAAGGGUUGGGCUGUUCGCCCAUUAAAGCGGCACGCGAGCUGGGUUUAGAACGUCGUGAGACAGUUCGGUCUCUAUCCGCCGCGCGCGUAAGAAACUUGAGGAAACCUGUCCCUAGUACGAGAGGACCGGGACGGACGAACCUCUGGUGUGCCAGUUGUUCCACCAGGAGCACCGCUGGUUAGCUACGUUCGGAAGGGAUAACCGCUGAAAGCAUCUAAGCGGGAAGCCUGUUCCAAGAUGAGGUUUCUCACCACCUAGCGUGGUUAAGGCCCCCCACAGACCAUGGGGUUGAUAGGCCAGAACUGUAAGCACAGCAAUGUGUUCAGGUGACUGGUACUAAUCGGCCGAGGACUUACC